UUUACAGAGUACUUAGCUUCCAGUAUUCAGAAGUGGGCUACUCCAGAAAGGUGUGCCUGAGGAAUGAAGUUAUUGCUAUAACUAUGCUUGAAAAUAUGAAAGCUAUUUUAGAACUUAGUAACAUGCCUAGUAGCUUAGAAGGUUAGGAGGUUUCAUGGGAUGCUAGUGAGACAAGAAGUCACCCCUUGUCACACUGCUGGAAAGGCGCUGAGUGCUCCGUGUCCACAUCCUAAAGCUUUAAGGAAGGCCUAAUGUAAGAGCGAUGGGUUACUUUAUUUGCAAAGUAUUAAAACGUUCGCUAUGGGUCUCAUUGCCAAUUUGGGUGUUUACAGUAAGCCUUGGGAGCAAAAGGAAACAGUGCAAAAGUGAAUGUGUGCCUUCUGACAGCUUUCAAAUGUGUCUAGGAAGCAAGUGACACACAGCUUAUGACAUCACAUCUGAACUGCUCCUUGCUGAAGGAGACCCUGUGAGGCUGCACUGAAGCCAUACUUGCACCAUGACGUUAGCAAGCUGCAAACAUUAACGUACCACCAGAGAGAGAAAGAGUGCUCGGUUCAGACAAAGGCAAACAUGGAAGGUUUAAAGUCACAUCGGAUCAGCUACAUCUGAUUUCUGCAGGAUGAUCCAUUUUUAAUAUGGGCUACACCUUCUUCUGGAAGCCUUAAACAGGGACAUGAAAGAAGAAUACUUGUUCUCUUUGCUUGCUUGCUCUCGCUCUUCCUAGAAAUUACUUCACUGCUAUUAGAGCCUACUUCUUCAGGAUUCUGCAUAUACUGAAAACCAUCUGGGACAUCCAGCCUUGUGGACUGAACAACUUCUGGCUUCUUGGACCUUUCACUGUCAGCCAUUGCCAGACCACAGUCUAUAAGUCAUUCUAAUAAAUCUCCUACAUAUAGA
Long non-coding RNA from Mastomys coucha (southern multimammate mouse), 897 nucleotides. RefSeq lists it as uncharacterized. The transcript has 3 exons. Lineage: Eukaryota; Metazoa; Chordata; Mammalia; Rodentia; Muridae. The record is from RefSeq and is a predicted model, not a curated record.